This is a long non-coding RNA of Arabidopsis lyrata subsp. lyrata, 1410 nucleotides long. RefSeq lists it as uncharacterized. NCBI's taxonomy places the organism in Eukaryota, Viridiplantae, Streptophyta, Magnoliopsida, Brassicales, Brassicaceae. The record is from RefSeq and is a predicted model, not a curated record. The transcript has 3 exons.
UAUCCACCGCCACAACAACUUUUCCAGCACUCUUUCACUCCACAACGUGAACCUCAAGUAGGAAGGACGCCUUCAGAAGAAGUACUCCAGAACAAUCAACAGCCUCCAGCCACUUCUCAGCAAGCUGCUCCGAUUCUUGAGCAGGAGGCUCCGCCUUCUCCGCCCCAUAACUCUCAGACUCACAGUCAGCCAUCGUCUCAAGGCAACAACUUCGUGGAGUUUCCUCCGGUGUUGCCGGAACUCCAAGAAGACUCACAACAGGCUCUCAACGACCUACUUGCGGUGCCUGGCAGGGAAAAUUACAUUACCGUCCUCAAUCCCGAGCCCAUAGACAAAACUUCAUGGUAUGAUCUUCUUGCUUGUGUUGUUUGUUGUAAUGAGUUAUGUAUUUUGGUGAUGACAAGUGAUGAGAUGACAAGUGAUGCAUUUUGGUCUCUGAUGGGUUAUGCAUUUUGAUGAGGAUUAGUUGAAACCCUAAAAUUGUUUGUUCUGUAUGCUUAUUGUAUUGGUGUCUCUGUUUUGAUAUGAAUCACUUAAUUGUUUUGCUAUGAAUUAUUUAAUUUGUUUUAUGCGUAUUGUAAUGGUGUAAUGGUGUCUCUGUUUUGCUUUGAAUCACUUAAUUGUUUCUUUAUUAAGUGUCUCCGACUGUUUAUUCUUUCAUGUGUAUCUCUGCUGACUUGUAGACUAAUGGUGUGACUGUGCUGACUUGUAGACUAAUGGUGUGACUGUGUUGUAAGAGUUGUGGUCUGAUGGCUUAUGAGUUUUGUUGAACUAAGAGUCUGAAUUAUGACUUGUGCUUUUCUUAUGCGUAUUGUAAUUGUUUCUCUGUUUUUGCCUUUGUAUUAUCUGCUUGUUGAUUUAUUAAUUGCAUCUCACUGUUUGUUUUUCUUGUGUAUCGAGGUUUACCCGAGACACGGGAUCAAGACUUGUUCGGAAGAUAACCAAGGUUUUUACAAACAAAUUUGCUGGUCCAUUCUACAGCUGGACAUGUGUGCCUCGUGAUAAACAAGAGAGAUACUUCCUCGAGUUUGCGAAAACCCACACCUGGGAUCCUUUGAUAACAGGGACUGUCCAAUAUUUUUUUGAGCUCAUCUGUUUAAAGCGGAUGAAAGACAUGGUUAGUGGUGUAAGGACUAGUCGUGAGAAACCUUCUUGGAUAGGAACGACCCUCUGGAAAACAAUGACUGAUUUCUGGGACACUGAGGAAGCACAGGCAAAGAGUCUCACCUACUCAAAGGUCCGUAAUUCUGACCGUAACGGUCUCGGUCCCCACAAACACUUCUCAGGGCCUAAGUCAUUUCAGCAAGUUGAAGCUGAACUGGAAGAGGAAUUGGGAAGACUAGUCUUAGUGAAGUUUUCAUCAAGACACAUACGAGGCCUGAUGGUACCUUUGUUGAUCUGAAGGCGGAG